RNAcentral lists this ribosomal RNA (516 nucleotides) under uncultured bacterium. RNAcentral's name for it is "bacterial SSU rRNA". It matches the Rfam family "Bacterial small subunit ribosomal RNA", at positions 1 to 477 of the family's 1533-position model. The record is from RNAcentral.
UAUUGGCCCGCGUCGAUGCUCCCGGCCGCAUGGCGGCCGCGGGAAUUCGAUUAGAGUUUGAUCAUGGCUCAGAUUGAACGCUGGCGGAAUGCUUUACACAUGCAAGUCGAACGGUAGAGGGGGCAACCCCUUGAGAGUGGCGAACGGGUGAGUAAUAUAUCGGAACGUGCCCAGUCGUGGGGGAUAACGUAGCGAAAGUUACGCUAAUACCGCAUACGAUCUAAGGAUGAAAGCGGGGGAUCGCAAGACCUCGCGCGACUGGAGCGGCCGAUAUCAGAUUAGGUAGUUGGUAGGGUAAAGGCCUACCAAGCCAACGAUCUGUAGCUGGUCUGAGAGGACGACCAGCCACACUGGAACUGAGACACGGUCCAGACUCCUACGGCAGGCAGCAGUGGGGAAUUUUGGACAAUGGGCGAAAGCCUGAUCCAGCCAUUCCGCGUGCAGGAUGAAAGGCCUCGGGUUGUAAACUGCUUUUGUACCGAACGAAAAGGUUUCUAUUAAUACUAGGAGCUCUUG